CAAUUUUAAACAUCUUUAAAAGGUAAGAAUACUUGUGUCUUGUUAAUAAAUUUCAGUAUCGAAAAAGCUUGAACUCAAUUUAGUUAGAAAAGUGCUCAUCUGCUAGCUAUUACGAACGGUCAGUAACAAAUAUAUCUAUAUAUAUGUUUUGGGCACUGUAGAAUAACGUAGGUUAAAGAAUAGUUUCAAACGGAAUACACUGCAUACGAGAACUUGAAG
Molecule: long non-coding RNA, 219 nt
Filed under: Mytilus galloprovincialis (Mediterranean mussel)
Lineage: Eukaryota; Metazoa; Mollusca; Bivalvia; Mytilida; Mytilidae
Source: RNAcentral